This 209-nucleotide ribosomal RNA is filed under the name uncultured bacterium. RNAcentral's name for it is "partial 16S ribosomal RNA". It matches the Rfam family "Bacterial small subunit ribosomal RNA", at positions 524 to 730 of the family's 1533-position model. The record is from RNAcentral.
UACGUAGGCAGCAAGCGUUGUUCGGAGUUACUGGGCGUAAAGGGUGUGUAGGCGGUUCUUUUAAGUUUGGUGUGAAAUCUCCCGGCUCAACCGGGAGGGUGCGCCGAAUACUGAGGGACUAGAGUGCGGGAGAGGAAAGUGGAAUUCCUGGUGUAGCGGUGAAAUGCGUAGAUAUCAGGAGGAACACCGGUUGGUGUAGACGGCAUUUC